This 50-nucleotide non-coding RNA is filed under the name unclassified sequences. The record is from Rfam.
CUCAAUAGCCGGAGCUCUCCGGAACAAAGAAAGUCACCCGGUUCAGGGUA